RNAcentral lists this small RNA (28 nucleotides) under Bombyx mori (domestic silkworm). RNAcentral describes it as "ovarian small RNA-17789". Lineage: Eukaryota; Metazoa; Arthropoda; Insecta; Lepidoptera; Bombycidae. The record is from RNAcentral.
GUCGGACCUACCGUAAAUAUACUGUCUG